AUCAACUUUCGAUGGUAGGAUAGAGGCCUACCAUGGUGGUAACGGGUAACGGGGUGUUAGGGCACGACACCGGAGAAGGAGCCUGAGAAACGGCUACCACAUCCAAGGAUGGCAGCAGGCGCGCAAAUUACCCAAUCCCGACACGGGGAGGUAGUGACAAUAAAUAACAAUACGGGGUUCUUUCGGAUUUCGUAAUUGGAAUGAGUACAAUUUAAAUCUCUUAACGAGGAACAAUUGGAGGGCAAGUCUGGUGCCAGCAGCCGCGGUAAUUCCAGCUCCAAUAGCGUAUAUUAAAGUUGCUGCAGUUAAAAAGCUCGUAGUUGAAUUUCGGGACCAAUAUGCCGGUCGUGCCUCGGUACGUACUGGCAUCGUUGGUUUCUCCCUUCUGACGAACCAUGAUGUCAUUUAUUUGGUGUCGUGGGGAAUCAGGACUGUUACUUUGAAAAAAUUAGAGUGUUUAAAGCAGGCUCACGCUUGAAUACAUUAGCAUGGAAUAAUGAAAUAGGACGUUUGAUUCUAUUUUGUUGGUUUCUAGGAUCGACGUAAUGAUUAAUAGGGAUAGUUGGGGGCAUUAGUAUUCAAUUGUCAGAGGUGAAAUUCUUGGAUUUAUUGAAGACUAACUACUGCGAAAGCAUUUGCCAAGGAUGUUUUCAUUAAUCAAGAACGAAAGUUAGGGGAUCGAAGACGAUCAGAUACCGUCGUAGUCUUAACCAUAAACUAUGCCGACUAGGGAUCGGAUGAUGUUAAUUUUUUAAUGACUCAUUCGGCGCCUUACGGGAAACCAAAGUGUUUGGGUUC
This 798-nucleotide ribosomal RNA is filed under the name uncultured Glomeromycotina. RNAcentral describes it as "SSU rRNA". It matches the Rfam family "Eukaryotic small subunit ribosomal RNA", at positions 314 to 1114 of the family's 1831-position model. The record is from RNAcentral. Lineage: Eukaryota; Fungi; Glomeromycota.